GAACUGGUUGUCUGAAAUAGAUACUGCCCUCCUCACCCUCACUUCUACCACCCUUUCCUAAACUUUCAUGGUAUGACUUAGUAAUUUGAUACCCCUAUAGUAGUCACAACUCUUGAUAUCACCUUUGUUCUUGUACAAUGGCACCACCGUACUCCACCUCCACUCCUCCGGCAUCCUUUAUAUUCUGAAAAUAACAUUAAACAUCCCAGUCAGCCACUCCAAGCCUGUUCUACCCAUAGACCUCCAAAAUUCUACCGGGAUUUCGUCUGGUCCGGUAGCUCUGUCCCUGCUCAUCUUACGCAUAGCCUCCACGACCUCGCUAACCUUGAUACGCCCAUAAUAGGUAAAGUCACGGUGACUCUCAGCAUGACCCAAUUCACCUAGCACAAUAUUCCUGUUCCCUUCUUCAUUUAGAAGUUUAUGAAAGUAGGCUUGCCACCUUCACUUAAUUUGAUCAUCCCCCGUCAACACCCUACUGUCCUCGUCUUUAAUGCACCUCACUUGGU
RNAcentral lists this long non-coding RNA (506 nucleotides) under Nicotiana benthamiana. RNAcentral describes it as "long non-coding RNA (NBEN_LNC006454)". Lineage: Eukaryota; Viridiplantae; Streptophyta; Magnoliopsida; Solanales; Solanaceae. The record is from RNAcentral.